UAGGGCCUCAUCGAGAGGCUGAACGGCGGGGAGCGCGUCCUGGAAAAGGGCCGCGGCAUUCUCGACUUCAUGGAGGCGCGACCAGCGCUCACCGUAGCAACCGAUCACGAAGGCCGAGCAGAUCGGCCCACCCCCGGACAUGAUCGCCGCGGACCCAAGAAACGCGUCAACGACGACGUCUGCCGCCCACUCGGCAGCAGCCCGCGGUCAUCGAGCUCCCACGCCGCGAGGUCUCGGC
This 238-nucleotide unclassified non-coding RNA is filed under the name Hevea brasiliensis (rubber tree). The record is from RNAcentral. Lineage: Eukaryota; Viridiplantae; Streptophyta; Magnoliopsida; Malpighiales; Euphorbiaceae.